RNA transcript from Panicum virgatum (switchgrass), 3736 nucleotides. It is a transcript of the gene named atherin-like, with no coding region annotated. The record is from RefSeq and is a predicted model, not a curated record. Lineage: Eukaryota; Viridiplantae; Streptophyta; Magnoliopsida; Poales; Poaceae. The transcript has 2 exons.
AGUAUCACGAAUAAAGCAACGUCGUCCCUUCCCAACACUGGAAACUUUUUUCUCAUACUUAUCUUCAGCACCGUGUGUACAUUACAAAGAAGAGCAUCCCUUGACUUGACUGCUUCUCCAUUGUAUUACUUUGAGAGGAACGUGUUCCCACGAUUUCAAUCAUCGUCCUAGACUUAAGCUUCACGUCCGGGCGUGGUAGCAGCGAGGUAAUUGAGACAAUGAGCUAGCCAUCAUUCUACAACCGUGGUGGUGCCGACCUGCUCGGAGGGCCUCAGACUAGCUCACUGGCAGACUCCUGUUUUUGCUGUAUGUUCGUCGAUAGCCUUAUUUCAUCCCCAUAUUUGGAUCGCGUGAUUGAAGAGUGGAUUCAUUGAGCGAGGUCUUAGGUAUUGAUGAUCGAUCGACCUGUUUCGACUUUCGAGUACCUAGCUUUUGCUUCGGCCGGUUGCGUUCUUUAUGAGCGCCGGGUAGGGAGCCUGCGGCAAAGACUGUUCACACGAGAUUGUCUGGGAUGGCGAUGCACGGGCUUCACCACACUUCCUUCUAGCUUGUUUUUAAGCUUCUCUCUCUGUUUCUUGGUAAGCACAAAUCCAAGCAAAUUCUGUUGUGCGGUACUCUGUGAUUUUGGCCCUCUGUUGACAGAAAUCUAACUACUAUGUGAUUUUACCCCCUUGUCGGUGUCCGGACCUCGCGGUCUAGCACCAACUACUGAAUAUGCUGCGUGUCCCGAUCUCCAGAUGGUUGAUGCAAGAAAAAACACAAUAACACCGGAUUUAUCCUGGUUCCGGCCGAUGAGGCCGUCCGUCCAGCAGAGGAGUGUGCACUGUAUUACUUGCACUGUAGUGCUUGUAGUAGGGGGUACAAACUGAGGCGAGAGAGGGAGAGAAGCUCCCAGGUCUCAAGAGGCACUAGGAGUGAUUGAGGCGAGUGGCAAUAUCGGUGGAGUGAGUAUGUGUGUUCUCGUGAUUGUCCCCUUCUUCCAUGCAGGUCCUCCUCCUUUUAUAGAUCAAGGAGGAAGAAGUUACACGCGUAGGAGGUCUACGGGGUCAUCUUUCUCCCCAAUCCGGGGAAGAACAGUUGUCAUCUCCUAUCGUAGAGCAUGACGUCCGGUGUGGUCAUCGUCCUUGCGAAUCCUUGCGCCCAUGCCCGAAGCGCGUUCUUAUCCUGUGGCGCCAGCCGACGGCGUGGCGAUAGCUGUAGAAGUACGCAGAGCCCUACGUUGGAUGAGGUGGGGGCGUCGAGGGUGUUGUAGACUCUGGUCUUUCCCUGGUCAAAGGCCGUACUGUGUCCGAGGGUCGCUGCCCACGCCCGCCGAGGGUCCUGCAGAGGGGAAAAGGUACAAGGGGUAGGCAGCACAGUGACGGACGGUGACAGGCAAGUCCGCACUGUGCGCCUCAGACCUGCCCCGCGCCGGGAAUAGCAGCACAGUGGCGGGCGCAGGUUGAGAAGACGCUAGUCAUGUCCGCUGUGUGGCAUGGUGGCCGACGCCAGCUGACGCUGCCCGACACCAUCUGACACCCGCUCCACGCCGCGGAGUGGUUGGCAGGUAAGUGCGCCCCGUCCCGUCGGGUGGUUGGGCCACCGCUCUAGUCCGCGGAGAUUUCUCUUGCGCCGAGGCCCCGUAGAGGGCUCGGCUGUGGGAGCCUCGAGCGAGGCGGAGUCCGUCCUCGCAUCGAAGGGCCCCGACGGGCGACCCUCGAGCGAGUCGGAGAUUGCCUUUGCUUCGAGGGUCCUCGGCAGGGAGCCCUCGAGCGAGGCGGAGAUUUCUUCCACGGUCAGCGAGGCCUUAGGGGGGCCGUAUCGCGAUGCCGGGCCGUGGGUCGAGUAUGACUUGGGCUUUCCAUACCUGAAGGGGCUUCGGGCGUCCGAGUUUGGGAAGGAUCCAGCCUGGGUGCCGAAUCCUGUUUUGCGCGUGUUGAGGGUGUUUUAGCCCUGGAUUAGGGUGCCCCAUAGUUAUGGUACCCGACACCCCUCUUUUGACAUCGGAUGUUGUACAGUAAUUUGAUAGAUAGAAAAAUAUUUUGACAACAAACAUAGAGAAAAUUUGCAUGAUCCUUUCAAUCCAACCAACCUUUUGACAAUUUUUUUCAUAAAACUUUGGCAGCAUGAUGACACAUCUUGCAUAAAUAUUCAAGCAAACAUUACAUAGCAAGCGUCAGAUACCGACAUGUCCAGACACACAUGCACAAAUUCACAGCACAUAGGUACAAAUUAAAUUUAGUUCCUCUCCAGCAGCAAUUCUGACCUAGAGUAGAGAAAAUGUCCUGUACAAUCUGGUGCUAGCAAGAUCUCUAGAGUGCACAUGCACAUCCAUGAGCAAGCAAUUCGACAUCCACAUUUACACUGAGCGUCCAGGCCAUGAUCUACAAAUUUUGCUAAUUCAUGAUCUUGGCCAAAUUCAGAUAUUGAAUUAGUUCAUCUUGUGCCCACGUCUGAUGAAAACAACAGAAACCCAGCUAAACUCAAUCGAUUUGCUCCAAGGAAGGAAAAACACAAAACAGGUAGGAAUUAAAUCUUUCAUGGACUAAUCCAAACCAUCAUAAUCAUCCUCAUCAAAUUCCAGAAAUCCUUCGGGAGACGCGAGAACAUGCUGGCAACGUCUCAAUUUUUGCUUUUUCACAUCUGUCUAUUAGUUGCAGGUCUUGUUUUCCCAGCACAUUUCAGAAACUCUAAAUGGAUGUUGCACAUCAACUUGUGCACGGAAGCGAGAACAAGAAUGUGCCUGAGAAGGCAAGGGGUAAAAGUACCGGAGAGCCGCAGGUACGAAGCGGAAUGCCGAUUUUUGUGCCACGUGAAGAACGUAAUGCAAGACCACGGAACAGUCCUGGUCGCCCUGCUUUUCCAGCUUCACUUGCAUACCCCGACCGGCUGUGUGAGCCGGCGCAUGCCGCCGCUGUAUCUAUGGCUGCACCUGGUAAAGAAGGUAUGGCAACAUAUUUCCGGAUAUAUAUUGUAUGUGCAACCCAUAGAGUUAAUAGUAUAUAUAAAUAAAUGGAUGCCUAACUAAUGCAUGAGUAACAGACUGGGCCCUUCGUCGUGGCGACUCGCCUGGCUUUCAGAUUUUAGUGCCACGGCCACGUCCAGAACAUGAUGCAAGGCCGCCAGGCCGCCCCGCUAUUCCUUCUGCGGUUGCAGCUCCACCUGCAUACCCCGGCGGCCCAGCUCAGAGGCCGACGCCGACGACGACACCAGUGGCCAGUGGUGUCGGCGCCAGCAGCAAAGGCGCCACGACGGACAGCGAGGAGGAGGAUCAGCCGCCUGCUGGAGCGGUAGCAAAAGGGGAGGGAGAGGCCAACGCGGCCGCAGGUCAUCGGAGCCCGCCGCCGGGUGGUGCCGCUGGAGGAAACGGUGGUAGCGCCGCACCACCAGCAGCGCUCGAGAAUCUGCCAUCCGUAGUGGCAAGACAGGCCAUCCCCAACACUCCUGCAGUGGAUGCAAGGCCUAGCCCACCAGCGGCCGCACGGCCACCGCCAAGCACAUCAGCGGCAAGGGAUAAUGAUCGGCGCAAGGAAACGACUUUCUGCGAGCGCCUGCUUUCUUGCUUCAACCGUUGCUCCUAAUUGACGUGGGACGACCUGAAAUCCGGAAGCCUGCAAAAAGGGUUUUGGAUCAGGACCUUAAUUACGACUUAAUAUUGUACCAAAAUAUUUUGUAUAUAGCCGCUGACACUUGCUGGGUUUUGUUAGAUCGACUAUUCCUUGGAUUGGACACGAACAUGAUAGUUUGAUUUCCUAAA